Molecule: non-coding RNA, 1700 nt
Organism: Lolium perenne
Lineage: Eukaryota; Viridiplantae; Streptophyta; Magnoliopsida; Poales; Poaceae
Source: RefSeq, a predicted model, not a curated record
GGUUGCAAAAAAAACCACCAGUGCCCUAGGUCUCUCUGUAGUCACGCAGAGGAGCGAAACAGCAUCGCGGCGGUGGUGAAUCGGCGGAGGAGAUCGAACGUGAUGAUGUACCGAUGGGAAAAAUCAUUGGAGAAAUUUGUAGAUCGCUGGAGUCGUGCUAAUGGUGGCGAAUCAGCGAAGGAGAACGUUGCGGUGCCGGAGCAUGGGAGGAGGUCCGAGCGGCUGUGAAGUUGGCCGGUUCCUUCGCCGGCGUUCUGGUCAUCGCUGAGGCGCUCCGGCUCUUCGCGGACACAGAUGCGCGAUUGACGGCGGCCCCGACUGGCCCCGAUCCACCGGUUGGUCUGCCCUGUGCGCGCUCAGUGCAGCCGCUUCCGGGACAACACUGCGACUAUUCUAACUGGAGGCGCGUGCCUCCAUGUCCUCUCUCCGCCACCAAGGGAGGGGAGCAGCAGUGGUACGACAUGGUGAAUUGGUGACUGGACGUCACCCUCCUGGAGCUGCGCAUGGCCAUGGAGGCCCAAGUCGCCUAUUUGUGGUCUCCUAUUAUCAUAGGCUUCUCCAUUUGUGAUUCAGUCGAUGGCGAUGACAAUCUCUUCUGGCCAUUUUUUGAUGUGUCUAGGAUUAAAUUUUCAGUUCAUUGGAUUUUGUUUGCAGGCUGCCCCUGACGCUGACUAAUUUGACGACAAGAUCUUCCUUUGGUCCUUUCACUUUGCGUGCUCCGCUCCUCCAUGCGAGCUCUCAGACAUUGUUUGGUCAUCGAAGGUUUGUAGCCCUGUUUUAUAAGGCGAGCUAAUUGUCCCCUGCUAAUUAUCGGCUAGCUGAGUUCAGACGAGUUUUGUUGAACUGCAAAUGUAGAGAUUGAGAAAUACAAUGAGAUAGUGAGCUAAACUUCUGCUAUUGCUAUUAGGUUAUUGUGAACAUGUAUUAGAGCAGAAAGACUGAUUCAGUCAAGCAGAAAGACUGAUUCAGUCAAGUUUGAUGGUAUGUACAUUCUAUUUCUUCACAAGCUUACACGUUCAGAUUCAAGUUAUUGUAGAAUUUGCUUACUAUGGUAAAAAUGAUACAAUAUUAUCAAGGAAUUGAUUGUAUGUUGUUACCAUCCCAUAACAGUCUAGGGUAUAUUAUGGAGAACUAUGUUUAAUUGCAACUUAACAGUAAUAUAUUUGCAGUUGCUUACUUCACCUGAACUGAAUGACUAUGGAAUUACCUAGCUUCAUAAUGAUUUUGGAGGUAUCUUCGAUCUUCUUAAUACAUCCGAAUAUGUUUGCAUUCCCUUCUGAUUGCAAUUUCUCGGGGCGGCAAUUCAAUCUUAACUUUGUGGCCCUCGCUGCUCGCCAGACCUGGGCAUGCAUGGUGACCAGCAGCAGCCAGCCUCGAUGAGGAUGCAUGGGGAGCAGGCUGCCGUUGCUAAACUGAGACAGCCCAUGAAAUUUCUCCGGAGGAUGAAGUUAUUGCCUAGAUUCUUAGGGAAUGAUUGUUCGUUGUAAUGGCAGUCAGUUCAAAAGCUAUAUGCAGGAGCUGAAGAGCUAAAGUCGCUUAACGCACUCAGAUUAAAUGGCCAAUGCUUAGUUCUCUGUCAGUUUUCAGGAGACAGAAAAGGCAUAUAGCUGAGAACUGCUCCUUCCAACUGUUUGUUCUAUAUUGUGUGUUAUCCUGUGUAUAUGCACUGCACGAAGUGUAUAAAAAGUUGACUUUUUUGA